CUAGCACUAACUAGCUAAUGUUAGGUAACUAGCGCUCUGAUAUGCACUGUUGAUGUUAUAAUUUAGGCAUACGUUUUUCCAUAUUGUUUGAGUUGAAAACUGCCCAUUUAGCGUGCUCCUAUUGUGGAUGUAACAUGUUCUAGCUCAACGUAACUCGCUAACAUUAGCCGUAACCAAACGUCAUCAUCACAGGGAUGCGUGGCAGCCAUUUUCAUGUUCGUUAACGUUAGCCCGCAUUCACGCUGUCAGGUCACAAAGCCCUUGCACCCCCCCCAUGCUUUUUGCUUUCAUCAAAUUCAGCAUACCAGAGGCAAGACAGUCUGACAUCAAAGUGUAUGACCAGUCUCACACAGAAAUUGACAGAGGUGUUUGAAGAGAUUGCAAAGGAGUCACCUGGCACCUUCUGGAUCAUGAAGGACUUGCCUCUCAAUUAUCAUCGUCAUCCUCUGUAAGAUCUGAUGACACUAUAAUUCUGAAUUUCACUGUGUGUGACCAUCAUGAAGAAGCAGCCACUGGUGAAGGGAGCCAACCCAAAAGACAGUGCUGGAUAAACUGAGGCUAAAGUGGUAUUUGGUAGAAACUACUGUUUGGUGUAAUCUGUAUGUUUGUUUCAUAUUAUGGGAUUGGGGAGUGUUCUUGAGCUAAUUCUUUUCAAUUUUUACUAUUAAAAAAAUAAAUAAAAUCUUAUACACUGCUCAAAAAAAUAAAGGGAACACUUAAACAACACAAUGUAACUCCAAGUCAAUCACACUUCUGUGAAAUCAAACUGUCCACUUAGGAAGCAACACUGAUUGACAAUAAAUUUCACAUGCUGUUGUGCAAAUGGAAUAGACAAAAGGUGGAAAUUAUAGGCAAUUAGCAACACACCCCCAAUAAAGGAGUGAUUCUGCAGGUGGUGACCACAGACCACUUCUCAGUUCCUAUGCUUCCUGGCUGAUGUUUUGGUCACUUUUGAAUGCUGGCGGUGCUUUCACUCUGGUGGUAGCAUGAGACGGAGUCUACAACCCACACAAGUGGCUCAGGUAGUGCAGCUCAUCCAGGAUGGCACAUCAAUGUGAGCUGUGG
Salvelinus fontinalis (brook trout) is the source of this 1065-nucleotide long non-coding RNA. RefSeq lists it as uncharacterized. The transcript has 3 exons. NCBI's taxonomy places the organism in Eukaryota, Metazoa, Chordata, Actinopteri, Salmoniformes, Salmonidae. The record is from RefSeq and is a predicted model, not a curated record.